AAUCGGUCCUUGUAAUGCCGCGGUUGUCUCUGUGGGGUUGAUGUCCUCGUCACCUUUCUUCGACUCCUGAUAUCACUCGUAUCUCUAACGUUAUUAUGAGUUAGUAAAGCUGUUUGUUUCCGAAAAAAGAGAAGUUGCCUGCACCGUGAUUUCGUGCUGAUCAUUCUAGGGAAUUGUACUGUGUUGUUUGUGUAGGAUAGUGAUGGGCUUGUUUGGGGAGCGUUUGGUUUUUAGUUUUGGGCCCAACUACUGUUCAAUUUGUUGUUGUUUUUUGUGCUUAGAUUCAUUUGCCUUGUUGUAUAUUUGUUUUGUGUUUUUUUUUCAUUUGUCUUUCUCGUGGACUUGAUAUACUCUUUUGUUUUCGCCA
Molecule: long non-coding RNA, 367 nt
Filed under: Brachypodium distachyon (stiff brome)
Lineage: Eukaryota; Viridiplantae; Streptophyta; Magnoliopsida; Poales; Poaceae
Description: long non-coding RNA (BDIS_LNC000806)
Source: RNAcentral